UUGAUUUGCCUGCAAAAGUGUGAGCAAUGCCAUGAGUUAAGAGGGGACUUUCUGGUCUCAAGUUUUGCUUUUCAGUGAGUUCAGGCUCGCUUUGGAAAAUAGUUGGAACAUUUGGAAGAAAUUGAUCUGAAUUCAGAGUCUGGAGUAAAACAGUAAAGCAGCCCUGCAGGAAGACCACAGUGGCCCCAGUUCAAGCUGCAUUUGGACCUCAGUCUUCCACCUAGGGCAGAACAAACCUGCUGAACAUCCGAAGCAUGUGAAGAGCCGAAUUUACAGGGGACAGAUGGAGAAGUGCACAGGCCAGAGUGCAGCGGAGGAGCUGACCUGAGGAAAGGAGGCUUUCACCUGCCCAGACAAGACGUGUCUCCUUGCCGGUCUGUGUGUGAGUUAUGCAAGGAAAAAGGUAAGCACCGAAGAGCUGUGAACCUGACCCAAGCACAUCUCCCCUCCAGGCUCCUUGCAGCAAGAAGCCCUGCUCCAGUCUGUGCCAGGAAAAGACAGCUACGGGGAUGUAACCUCAGGCUUCAACAUCCUCUGGCAUUUUGCUUCCAGAACUCCUACGUUUGUUCAGGUCUCCCUACGUUAGAUCACAUCCCUGAACUGGAUCACAGACUGGUCACCCAAGAAGAUGGACCAACACAAAAAGGACUGUGGUACAGAGAAGAGAAGUUAAAAAAAAAAAAAAAAAAAAAAAGGCAGAGGGAUUCCUGGAUUAUUGGAAACCACAACAGCCUCAAAAGUCUCUGUAACAUGAAACUGCAGAUAAGGUUGGUCAUAGCCCGUGACGUGCAGCUGACGGCUGAGCCCAUGGGAGAAGAGCCUCCCAGCAGCAUUGUGCAAGGGGCUGAUACCGCGUCCUCCUAAAUCUUGGAGGGCUGAAGCUUAUUUGUACAACAAACAAGGCUUGACUGGAGUUUACCGUGCAGAAUUGUGCCUCUGUAACACAGUUCAGCUGUGUGUAUAUUUCAUAGCAAAGAAAAUAUAGUGAUGACUUCCACUAGGUUUCUUCAUCAGUGGCCAUUGCAUUAAUGCUAAAUGUUUGUGUGACUUGUUUGGGUUAAAAGAAGUGCAUUGGACAGGAUUCUGAAUAAAUGUAAAUUAGAAGUGACUCAUUAAAAUAUUUGGAGUUACAGGCACAAACGGGAUCAGAAUCAAGCCACUUGUCCUAGUUUCUGUCACACAAACACUAACCCUUUAUAAAUCAUUAAUUUCCAGACUGUUUAUUAUCCAGGGGAAGUAACAAAACAGUAGUAUCACAUAACACAUCCUAAGAAUGCCUUGUUCAUUUUAAGAGCAAAUAAAACUAAAUAGCACCAAGUUGUUAGUGAUGCAGCCUAUGAGACCAAGCAGAAAGACAAAAAGGGGAGCUUAAUGAGUCUGAGGCCACAAAAUAAACAGGGAAGGGGUAAAAAAAAGAAAAAGAAAAGUAGUAUAAGAGUGACUUCACAUAGAGUAUCUUCACAUAGAUAUUAUUUGUUUACUACCACAUGGAAAUUCCCUGUUCAUUACAUGGUGGUGCUUUCACUGGGGAUGCCACAGCCAUGCUAUCGGAGUGUGAAUGCUUUCCACAGCUGCUGUUACCCUUCAUCAGCUUUCUCCACAGGCAUAGAACAGAGUGGAGCCACCCUUUCAAAAAAUAAUAGUCGAAAUUAAUUACUCUGUCGAGAAAACAACCUUUGGGUUGUUUCAUUUACUAGCCCCCUCUUCUAAUGUGUUUGUCACAUGUUGCCCAGAAGCUGCCCAUGAUGAGGAAAUUACAUUAACGCACAGCUGAGGAUGAGGCAGAGAAAGUGAGCACCGUGUCUGUCCUCGCUAGGACUGUGCUGAAGUUCACGACUUGCCUUUCUAUGGGGCAAGGGGACCUGCCUUGGCUGCAGGAGCCCACCCUGCCACGGGAGCCCACCCUGUGAAGGGAGCCCAUCUGGCUGCGCCAGGCAGGCUGCUGAGUUUCCCAGCCAUGCAACCUGCUUGAAAGCACAGGGAUGGAGUUGCAAAUACGGAAGUGGGAGUUAGAUAAAACAAGUUUUUUUUCUCGCCUAUUUUGUAUCAUUUCAAUGGAUAGUGCUGACAGCUGAGAGUGCACAGCUAUUUAUUCCUUGCACUUUUGCUAAUAGCAGCAACGCCAGACACCGUACUGCUUCAGUACCAUUGAGCCUUGCUAGCACAGGCUGUAUUGGCUUGUUGUCAAUUUAGCUUAAAUCCGUUCCCAGUUUCACUAGUAAAAAGUCCUUUUCUAGCCAAUAUUACUGAGCUUAUAUUGAACUGGCUUUUUUGCUAGCCUUACUUGUCAGUAAAGUAUCGUACUUUUAAAAGUGAUGUUAGCAAAACCGUAAUACAGGCCUCACAGAUGAUUUGGGUCCAUAUGUUAUUUAUUUUAAUCUCUUAAGGUUCCAAAACACUAUAUAUUUACAGUCACUCUUUAAAGUUAUUGUUAGUUACAAAAUAUUAGAAACAUAGUUUCAUCUAUAAAAUGCGUGAUUAAUUUAAUCUUUACCAUACUUUUUUGCAUCAUACAGGAAACAUUUUAGCCUGAUGAAUACCAUGGAUGUAUAAUUAGUGCUUUAUACAGUAAACUUGAUUAUAACUUACACUGUCCACCCUGGCUCCAAAAAUCCUUGCAGAUUUUAAUUCAAUUGCUGCACUUUAUCUGGAUGAAAGCAUUUGAAUUCAAUUAUUAUUAUUCUGCAUGCAUUUGUGCCUUUGUAUAGGUUAGAUGUGGUAGUAGUUUUAAAACAAGUUUAGUGGAAGUCUCAAAUUAGGCAUUAGAGUCUAUAUUUAGGCAUCUAUCAGAUUUUAAAUGCUGACCAUCUGAUUUUCCUAGCUGAGGUUUGCCAAAGUCAGGGUUUAAUGGGUAUUGAGACUGGAAGAUAAAAUUAAAGGGAAACAAAUUUUGAGAUGUUUCUGAAUUUUGAUGGGAAUUAGGCACCUGCCCUGCCUGGACUAUUGUGAAUGCCCUGUUACCUGCUUAUCUGUACCUGCCAAUGCUCAAAUGCCUUUAAAAUCUUGGCAGGAUGCUUUGGAUACCCACAUAACAGUAAACCCAUUAAAAAUCUC
This is a long non-coding RNA of Anas platyrhynchos (mallard), 3054 nucleotides long. RefSeq lists it as uncharacterized. The record is from RefSeq and is a predicted model, not a curated record. Lineage: Eukaryota; Metazoa; Chordata; Aves; Anseriformes; Anatidae.